Molecule: ribosomal RNA, 211 nt
Filed under: uncultured bacterium
Lineage: Bacteria
Description: partial 16S ribosomal RNA
Rfam family: Bacterial small subunit ribosomal RNA
Source: RNAcentral
UCGCCCGCCGCGCGCGGCGGGCGGGGCGGGGGCACGGGGGGCCUACGGGAGGCAGCAGUGAGGAAUAUUGGACAAUGGGCGCAAGCCUGAUCCAGCAAUGCCGCGUGGGUGAAGAAGGUCUUCGGAUCGUAAAGCCCUUUCGACAGGGACGAUGAUGGCGGUACCUGUAGAAGAAGCCCCGGCUAACUUCGUGCCAGCAGCCGCGGUAAUA